This 519-nucleotide ribosomal RNA is filed under the name uncultured Porphyromonas sp. RNAcentral's name for it is "bacterial SSU rRNA". It matches the Rfam family "Bacterial small subunit ribosomal RNA", at positions 28 to 537 of the family's 1533-position model. The record is from RNAcentral. Lineage: Bacteria; Pseudomonadati; Bacteroidota; Bacteroidia; Bacteroidales; Porphyromonadaceae.
GAUGAACGCUAGCGAUAGGCUUAACACAUGCAAGUCGAGGGGCAGCAUGGUCUUAGCUUGCUAAGACUGAUGGCGACCGGCGCACGGGUGCGUAACGCGUAUGCAACUUGCCUCACAGAGGGGGAUAACCCGUCGAAAGACGGACUAAUACCGCGUACACUCUAUGUUGGGCAUCCAAUGUAGAGGAAAUGAAAUUCGCUGUGAGAUAGGCAUGCGUCCCAUUAGCUAGUUGGUGAGGUAACGGCUCACCAAGGCGACGAUGGGUAGGGGAACUGAGAGGUUGAACCCCCACACUGGUACUGAGACACGGACCAGACUCCUACGGGAGGCAGCAGUGAGGAAUAUUGGUCAAUGGGCGAGAGCCUGAACCAGCCAAGUCGCGUGAAGGAUAACUGUCUUAUGGAUUGUAAACUUCUUUUGUAGGGGAAUAAAGAACGGCGGUGUUGUCUCAUGUCCGUUCUCCGCGAGCAAGCAUUGACUAACUCCCUGCUCCACCCCUUGGUCAGCCGGUGGAUGCCC